Molecule: long non-coding RNA, 3820 nt
Organism: Paramisgurnus dabryanus
Lineage: Eukaryota; Metazoa; Chordata; Actinopteri; Cypriniformes; Cobitidae
Source: RefSeq, a predicted model, not a curated record
UCUACGUCAUAACGUAAGAUCGCGCCAUACUGGCAGUGGCCACUGGCCAGAGUAGAGAGCCUUGAUAAAGUAUGGAACGUUUUCAGGAUAUUCAGCUUUCACUAAAGCGAAUUUUAGUUGAUGUGUCAAUGAAGAACAAAAGCUGGAAUGUGAAUAGAAGAAGGGGUCGUACGGGGUCUGUAAAAAUACUCAAGUGGUGCUCGCUGCAUAUCAGAUCAAGCAUUGGAAUAAGAUUUUUAUCGGGGGAGAACAACCAACAGAGAAAGACCCAUUCACCAACUACAUGGCGCACUGAAAGGGGAGAUUCAUGUCACCUUCACCAGUCCUUUCUUUAAUUGCUGGAAACUGUUAAGGGAAAGACCCUCAGACAUAAUAGGAUAAAUGUGGCUGCAGGUAAAAUUAUUUGAUGGUGUUAAGGUUUAUCAUUAUCUAACAAACCAAAUGCUUUGUUCAAUAACAAGAAAUCACGUUAGGGCCAUUUUCUGGAAGAGAAAUCCACUUGGACAGUUUGACAAGGAUCAAGAGGCCAAGGACCAGGUGGUGAAGUCGGAACCAGACCAGACAGCUCUCGCACAGCCAGCCUCUGAACCUGCUCUACAGUUUGAAUCGCCCGGGUGAAGUUAAACUCUACUUUGCUGGUGACCCAGAUGGCUGAGAACAUGAUAGGCUGAAACCCUGGAAGCUAAGAGGGAAGCGGCAAAGGAGUUCGAAGAAGAGCUGAAAAGCACGUCUUAAUGAACACAAGGACAAGGCCUGGUGAAAGCCACUACAGAGGAUCAUAGCCAUCGUUGGAGUUCUGAAAGGACGUGGGUGAAUAUCAAUCUGCCAAAUGAACUUUUUUUUAGCAUGCACAUUCACAUCUUUAUAUUAAUACUGAUUAUAUAUGAACUUGUUUGUUUGUUACUGGAAACAACUUCGCUUCUAUUGUGUUUGACAGAAGGAGUUUUAAGCCUAUGUGCAUUUUCUAGAUGUUAAGCAUGAACAGUACUUAAACAACCAUUACCCGUACCAGCUCUGUCCGUGCUCCAUUUUCCAUUGCAGAUCAUACUCAAGAGAUAGUACCCCUUAAAUGCAGCUGGUUGUCAUAGCAAGGCCACACACAACUGCCGCGGCGUAAUGUUCAAUGCGAGGUACACACCAGCGCCCCAAUUUAAUUUAAAACGUUUCAGCAUUACUCGGAUUGUACUUAAUUUAACUAAAACAAAUAUCAAAAACAUGUCUAAUUAAUACUUUAUCAACACGUCAUACUCCUGGAAAAGACCCACAUAAAUCACAUAUUUUAAAGGAAUAGUCUACUCAUUUUCAAUAUUAUUUAAUAUUUUCAUAUUUCAACAUAUAUCAAUAAUAUGUUAUUACCUUAACUAAGAAUUGUUGAUACAUCCCUCUAUCAUCUGUGUGCGUGCACGUAAGCGCUGGAGCGCGCUGCGACGCUUCGAUAGCAUUUAGCUUUGAGUUCACUCAAAAGUCGAUUUAAAAUUGCAGUUUAAAAAAACUUGCAUGCAUUGAAGACCCGUCACCCCUAGGAACAACAUGAAACGAUUGAAUAUAUCUUCAUAUGAUAUAUCAGGACACUUCUUAAUUUCAUCCUCACACUGGCUCAUACAUGGCUGGUGUAGUAAAUAUUUACCAUAACUGUUUUUAUCAUGUUUUAUGCGUGCUCCCACCACACUGUUUUCUACUUGCUGGCCAUAAAAACUGAGCUCCCGCACAAAGAAGGGAAAUACGUCACAUCUCUUACUCCCGCGUUUGAAAAUAAUGUGGAUAACAACAUUAUUCUGUUUGAGGUGUAACAAGCUGUGUUCCCACAUGUUUAAAGGCUCUCUAAGCGAAUCUGCGAGACGUUAGUUAUUGUUGACUUUUAAAACUGUUUUCAAACAGACGGAGCGUAGCUAACUCCUCCCCCUCCCUUCCGUGCUUUCAUGAACGCGCCCAACCCCCACCCCCAAAUCCUUUGUCGUUUAUUGGCUGGAAUACUUUGUUUUGUUUUGUGAUGCUAGGUUUGGCCACUUGUUGAUAUUGCCGUUUGUGAAGUCUAGGCUGUCUACAGAGAUCGCGUUUUUUUACAGUUUGAUCAACGGGCAGGCAGCAAGCAGAUAGUGAGGAGAUGUUUCCGGUAUGUAACAAAAAAUGUUUUAUGGUCUAAAACGCUUCAAUUCCCUUAAAGCGCCUUUGUUUUGCCGCUUAUGACCGUAAUCAUCAUGGAAAACGUUGGUUUACUGAUACUACACGCCAGAAGUCGCACCCAUAAUUCGCGCAAAUCGUCAUGGGGUGUAGGAAUAGUGUGCAUAGGGCCCAAAAUUAUUAACAAGAGGGUAACAUUCUUCAUAGAGCCAUAGCUUAUUUAUUUUGCUUUUAAAGUGCACCAAAUGAAUGCACUUAACAUUAAAAUGAACACUUUUCUUUUGAGUGGAAAUGUACAUCUCAAAUGGGGAUCUGCAGUGAAUGGAAAGGACAUUGCUGUAAAAUAUCAGAAAUAUGUAUGUAUGUAUGUAUUUAGUGAAAAAGUUGUUGAUGCAAAUGCACUUAACAUAGACCUUCUGUUUGUUUUUUGUACAUUUAAAACACAAUAUACUAAUACAGAAUGUGUGGACAUAAACUGGAAUGUUGGUUGCAAUUACUGUCAAAUAAUGUUUAUAUUAAGUAAAUCCCAUGUACUAUUAAGAAAAGUCUGUAGAUAUAUUGGAGUUGUUUGUUAUUACUGUCAAAUUAUAUUCAUAUAAGGUUAGUCCCAUGCACUUAUAAGAAAGGUCUGUAUAUAUCGGAGUUGCUUAUAACAGUGGUUCUCAAACUGGGGUCCGGGGCCCCCAGGGGGGCCGCGAGAUGGUGCCAGGGGGGCCCCAGUUUUAUGACAUUUUAUAAAAUACAUUAAAUUCUAAUGAAUUCUGGGAAAUUAAACCAAAAAAAGGUAGCACUACUUUGUAUAAUUUAAUGUUUUGUUUAAUUAAAAUGUGAAGUUUUAGAACAGUUUUUUGUCAUAAAUUUUCUUUGGGGGGGCGCGAAGGAAUGCACCGUACCCAAAGGGUGGCCGCACGCUGAAAAAGUUUGAGAACCACUGGCUUAUAAAGUAAACCCCAUGAUGUAAUGGAAAAAGUAUAUGUGUGUGUGUGUGUGUGUGUAUAUAUAUAUAUAUAUAUAGGGCAGUUGCUUGUAAUUGCCAUCAAAUAUUGUUUACAUAAAAUAAACAUGUGUAUUUUUACAUAUAUGGGAUAAUUGCUUGUAAUUACUGUCCAUUUAUGUUUAUAUAAAGUGAACCCAUGCAUUGAGUAAAUGUCAUGUUGAUAUAAAGUUUUAUUAGUAUAAAGCAAUGUUUAUAUAAAGUAUACCUCAUACAUUGAUGGUAAAAAAAUGUAAAUUUAUUGGAGAUGUUUUUGUAAUUAAUGUCAAGUAUUGGUUAUAUAAGGUAAACCCCCAUAAAUUAAUGGUAAACGUAUGUAGAUAUAUUGGAAAGUUGCUUAUAAUUACCAUAAUAAAAAAUUUUUUAUAAGGUAAAGCCCCCAUACAUUAAAGGUAAAAAAUAUGUAGAAAUAUUGGAGAGUUGCUUGUUAUUACUGCCAAAUAAUCUUUAUAUAAAGUAAACCCCCCAGUAUUUAAAUGGUACAAACAUGUAGAUAUAUUGAAGAGUUGCUUGUUAUUACUGUCAAAUAAUGUUUAUAUAAUGUAAACCUGCAUACAUUAAUGGUAAAAGCUUGUAAAUUUAGUUUAGAUGUGUCUAUAAUUACUGUCAAAUAAUGUUUAUAUAAUGUAAACCUGCAUACAUUAAUGGUAAAAAUUUUAAAUUUAGUUUAGAUGUGUCUAUAAUUACUGUCAAAUAAUGUUUUUA